This 439-nucleotide ribosomal RNA is filed under the name uncultured archaeon. RNAcentral describes it as "bacterial SSU rRNA". It matches the Rfam family "Archaeal small subunit ribosomal RNA", at positions 19 to 463 of the family's 1478-position model. The record is from RNAcentral.
GGACCUGAAUGCUAUCGGAUUGAUACUAAGCCAUGCGAGUCAUUGUAGCAAUACAAGGCAUACGGCUCAGUAACGCGUAGUCAACCUAACCUAUGGACGGGAAUAACCUCGGGAAACUGAGAAUAAUGCCCGAUAGAACAUUAUGCCUGGAAUGGUUUAUGUUCCAAAUGAUUUAUCGCCGUAGGAUGGGACUGCGGCCUAUCAGUUUGUUGGUGAGGUAAUGGCCCACCAAGACUAUUACAGGUACGGGCUCUGAGAGGAGUAGCCCGGAGAUGGGUACUGAGACACGGACCCAGGCCCUAUGGGGCGCAGCAGGCGAGAAAACUUUGCAAUGUGCGAAAGCACGACAAGGUUAAUCCGAGUGGUUUCUGCUAAAGAAACCUUUUGUCAGUCCUAGAAACACUGAUGAAUAAGGGGUGGGCAAGUUCUGGUGUCAGCG